Molecule: transfer RNA, 88 nt
Filed under: Cordylochernes scorpioides
Lineage: Eukaryota; Metazoa; Arthropoda; Arachnida; Pseudoscorpiones; Chernetidae
Description: tRNA-Tyr
Source: RNAcentral
UUCCAGGAGCCGGAUUUGAACCAGCGACCUAAAGACCACCGUUGAAUGAUCUACAGUCCUCCGCUCUGCCAACUGAGCUAUCGAGGGA